This 61-nucleotide ribosomal RNA is filed under the name Eperua sp. MDLE-2018. RNAcentral describes it as "partial 26S ribosomal RNA". It matches the Rfam family "Eukaryotic large subunit ribosomal RNA", at positions 1 to 57 of the family's 3401-position model. The record is from RNAcentral. Lineage: Eukaryota; Viridiplantae; Streptophyta; Magnoliopsida; Fabales; Fabaceae.
UAGGCGACCUCAGCUCAGGCGGGGCUACCCGCUGAGUUUAAGCAUAUCAAUAAGCGGAGGA